RNAcentral lists this ribosomal RNA (499 nucleotides) under uncultured bacterium. Its description in RNAcentral is "bacterial SSU rRNA". It matches the Rfam family "Bacterial small subunit ribosomal RNA", at positions 28 to 513 of the family's 1533-position model. The record is from RNAcentral.
GAUGAACGCUAGCGGCAGGCUUAACACAUGCAAGUCGAGGGGCAGCAUGAGACGGAGAUUCGUCGAAGUCUUGAUGGCGACCGGCGCAAGGGUGCGUAACGCGUGAGCAACUUGCCCGUUUCUGGGGAAUAACCAGUGGAAACGCCGACUAAUACCCCAUAGUAUGCUUUUAAGGCAUCUUUUAAGCAUUAAAGAAUUUCGGAAACGGAUAGGCUCGCGUGACAUUAGCUAGAUGGCGGGGUAACGGCCCACCAUGGCGACGAUGUCUAGGGGUUCUGAGAGGAAGGUCCCCCACACUGGAACUGAGACACGGUCCAGACUCCUACGGGAGGCAGCAGUGAGGAAUAUUGGUCAAUGGUCUGACGACUGAACCAGCCAUGCCGCGUGAAGGUGACGGCCCUAUGGGUCUUAAACUUCUUUUGUAAAGGGAGCAAUAAGGUGUACGUGUACAUCGAUGAGAGUACCUUACGAAUAAGCAUCGGCUAACUCCGUGCCAGCA